CCUACGGGUGACAGCAGUGGGGAAUAUUGUACAAUGGGCGAAAGUCUGAUGCAGCGACGCCGCGUGAAGGAAGAAGGCCUUCGGUAUGUAAACUUCUAUCAGCAGGGAAGAAAAUGACAGUAUCUAACUAAGAAUCUAUGGACAACUACGUGCAAGCAGCCGCGGUAAUACGUAGGGGGCAAGCGUUAUACGGAUUGACUGGGUGUAAAGGGGGCGUAGGCGGUUCAGCAAGUCAGAAGUGAAAGCCCGGGGCUCAACUACAGGACUGCUGUUGAAACUGGAGAACUAGAGUGCAGGAGAGGUAGGCGGAAUUCCUGGUGUAGCGGUGAAAUGCGUAGAUAUCAGGAGGAACUCCGAUGGCGAAGGCGGCUUACUGGACUGUAAAUGACGCUGAGGCUCGAAAGCGUGGGUAGCAAACAGGAUUAGAUACCCCAGUAGUC
Molecule: ribosomal RNA, 440 nt
Filed under: uncultured bacterium
Lineage: Bacteria
Description: partial 16S ribosomal RNA
Rfam family: Bacterial small subunit ribosomal RNA
Source: RNAcentral